This is an RNA transcript of Glycine soja, 2614 nucleotides long. RefSeq lists it as uncharacterized. The record is from RefSeq and is a predicted model, not a curated record. The transcript is spliced from 5 exons. NCBI's taxonomy places the organism in Eukaryota, Viridiplantae, Streptophyta, Magnoliopsida, Fabales, Fabaceae.
GCAUCCACCGCCGAAACCAAACCCAAUGUCCUCUCUCUUGAAUGUGAAUUCCUCUCUCGCAGCUUCCAACCAGCACCGGCAUGAAGCAUUCCGUUUCGAAGAGAAAAUCGCAGUUCUCCUUGAAAUCUUCUGUGAAACACACACUUUUCAAGAGCGAGUUGAACCGAUUGUUGAUGUGAGUGUGCAAAUCGGAGAUGGCGAUGAUGAUGUGGUCCUUGGAGAGGAGUGAUUGGGACUCGGUGGAGGUAGGUGAGUCGGGCGAGUCGACUCGGUCAAUGACCGGGUCAGACCAGAUGAAAAGGCGUGUUCUGGGGUAUGGCCAUUCAGAAUGUUAAGAUACAAUGUAUCAUCUAGGAGUGGUCCUGUAUCUUCAAGGAAAAGAAAGGGAUGCUGAGGCCUUUAUUAAGGACUCUAUAAGGAUGCUAGAGGAAGGUGGGGAAAGGGAGUCUUUUGUAUGCAUUAGAAGACUACAAUACCUCUCACAGGUGGCCUUUUAAUCCUUUUUCCUACCGGAUCUUUGUUGAUAGAUAAUCUAUGAUUAGAUAAAAACCUUUACACUUAAUGUUAAUAGAAACUUAUGCUAUCUCAUGGGAAUUGAGAGUUUGGGUUAGUUAUAAUAGUUAUUGGUAGAAAGUUGGAGCAAUCAUUUAUUAUCUGAGUAUGUGUAGUAAUAGCUGUCAUUAGCAAUUAUGUAUUAUUAUAAUAUGUUCAUUAGGAACUAUUGUGUUGACAGUUUAUGGCAGAAAGUUAGGAGCAGUUGCAUAUUAUUUAAAUGUGUGUUAUGGUGUAAAUAGAAUGAUACAUGUGUUUGUCUUGUUAUUUGGACAGAGAACUAAUCUCUGUAAGUGGACAUCAAAUACUACAGCAUUCUAAGUAUUUUUCUGAUGACAGCUAUGGUGUAAAUAGAAUAAUACUGUUCAAUUAUUGUUCUAUCAAUAUCUAUAGGUAUAGAAAGGGCACCUAAAACCUAUGUCACACAACCCAUAUAUACUUGAGUGGUAGUAUAGUGUUACAUAUAAGUGCUCAGACACAAAACUAGACAUUAGACAAAUAAAAGUUAUUCUUUCCUCCUGACAGUUUUUAACUUUGGGAAGAGUUGGUUCUUGGCAUCGUAUUUAAUUUUUUUUACCAAUUGAUAUAUAUGAAUUCACAACAAUUUGUUGAAGCUGAGUUGGUCCAGAGAAAGAUCCUGCAUGUUGUGGAAUUGUCAAAGGUUCUUUUUGUUAACUUCUUUGUCUUUUGCUUUUAAUUGACUUUCUUGUUAUGGUGAUGCAUGCAUAUUUUAUAAAUUUAUAAAUACUGGGUAAGUGGAUUUUAUUUUUAUUUUUUGAAAAAAGUGGUUAAGUGAAAGAAACUUCUGCUUAAUGAAAUUAUUGUCACUUGUCAAAUACAAUUAUUUAGUUAGUUGCAUCUUAUUUGCUGCUUUUUCUGCCACUUUUAGUGUUGUGCCAUUGUCAUGGUUUAGGGAUAUAGGGAUGGCCUAGGCAAGUUGGUUUCUUUUCCUGUUUCUUAUUGUCACUUCAUUGAUGCAUUGAGCAGGCCCAUAUAUAUGGUGGUUAAGCACUAUUAUUUUCUGUUCUUAAGUUUAGUUUUGAUAGAAUGCUGUUUCUAUUCUUGCUGAAUAACAAUUAAAGUCUUUAAGUUAUUCUUAUGUAGAUAGCAUAUUUAAUUUGUUUGACCAAAUAGCAGUACCGUGAUAAUAUAUAAAUGGGCUGUAAUUUUUGAACAAGUUAGAAGUUGGAUUUCUUACAAAACAAUCAUGAUCUGAUAAUUCAUAAAACCAUUUUUAUUACUUGACAAUCGUGGAAAGUAGUAUGACUGACACUAAUGACAGAUUGAUAUUUUAUGAUGUUCCCUGAUGACAAUCGUGUAUAUAAUUAUGUCAAACAUGUAUAUAAUUUUUAUUCUCUUGUGUUCGGCUUAUAAAUAAGAAAAUAGACCAAUCAAAACAAAUAUCUUUAUUCUUUGUCCUACGCGUAUUCUUCGGGCCACAUACCAAAUCAUAUAAAAAAAUAAAAAUAUAAAUUAAGUACUUGAUGAAAUAAGGUUUAACCUUUAGUCUUUGGUUAAAUCAUGUAAUAUGUUUGGCUUUGUUUCCCUUUCUUUGAUAAUUUGCAAUUUAAGGCUGUCCUAACAUUGGAAUCCCUGUCUUCCAAAUUUAAGGUACGCCUCAGUUUCUCUAAUAGUGGUAGUCCAGUGUUUCACAUGCCCCCUCCUUGUUCUGUUGUUAUUCAGGUAAGCUCCUUGUUCCUAACAUUGGAAUCCCUGUCUUCCAAAUUUAGUGUUUGUUGCUCACUCAAUGUUCAGUUGAUUCUCCCUAGAGUAGGAACUCUGCUUUGAGCUUUGAAGAAGAAAAUGUUUGGGUUCUCUUGCAGGCACACGAAACUUGGCAGGAGGACCACUGGCCCUAUAAGGCGCGCUAAGGGUGGUUGGACAGCGCAGGAGGUUAGUCUUUAUUAAUUGGAGACAACUGUUUUUUUUUAUUUAUCAAUUUUUUGGUUACACAUAUUCUUGCAAUCUUGCUUGUUAGCAAGGUGAUUAAAUAGUGAAUUCAACUCAGUUGAUUUUAUGAAUUUGUAAUUAUAGUCCAAGAUUGUUAUGCUUGUCCUCUCAA